This 482-nucleotide ribosomal RNA is filed under the name uncultured bacterium. RNAcentral describes it as "partial 16S ribosomal RNA". It matches the Rfam family "Bacterial small subunit ribosomal RNA", at positions 30 to 507 of the family's 1533-position model. The record is from RNAcentral.
AUUGAACGCUGGCGGCAUGCUUUACACAUGCAAGUCGAACGGUAACAGGCCGCAAGGUGCUGACGAGUGGCGAACGGGUGAGUAAUGCAUCGGAACGUGCCCAGUCGUGGGGGAUAACUACUCGAAAGAGUAGCUAAUACCGCAUACGAUCUAUGGAUAAAAGCGGGGGACCGUAAGGCCUCGCGCGAUUGGAGCGGCCGAUGUCAGAUUAGGUAGUUGGUGGGGUAAAGGCUCACCAAGCCAACGAUCUGUAGCUGGUCUGAGAGGACGACCAGCCACACUGGGACUGAGACACGGCCCAGACUCCUACGGGAGGCAGCAGUGGGGAAUUUUGGACAAUGGGCGCAAGCCUGAUCCAGCAAUGCCGCGUGCAGGAAGAAGGCCUUCGGGUUGUAAACUGCUUUUGUACGGAACGAAACGGCUCUGGUUAAUACCCGGGGCUAAUGACGGUACCGUAAGAAUAAGCACCGGCUAACUACGUG